GACGAACGCUGGCGGCGUGCUUAACACAUGCAAGUCGAACGGAAAGGCCCUGCUUUUGUGGGGUGCUCGAGCGGCGAACGGGUGAGUAACACGUGAGUAACCUGCCCUUGACUUUGGGAUAACUUCAGGAAACUGGGGCUAAUACCGGAUAGGAGCUCCUGCUGCAUGGUGGGGAUUGGAAAGUUUCGGCGGUUGGGGAUGGACUCGCGGCUUAUCAGCUUGUUGGUGGGGUAGUGGCUUACCAAGGCUUUGACGGGUAGCCGGCCUGAGAGGGUGACCGGCCACAUUGGGACUGAGAUACGGCCCAGACUCCUACGGGAGGCAGCAGUGGGGAAUAUUGCACAAUGGGCGGAAGCCUGAUGCAGCAACGCCGCGUGCGGGAUGACGGCCUUCGGGUUGUAAACCGCUUUCGCCUGUGACGAAGCGUGAGUGACGGUAAUGGGUAAAGAAGCACCGGCUAACUACGUG
RNAcentral lists this ribosomal RNA (468 nucleotides) under uncultured bacterium. RNAcentral describes it as "partial 16S ribosomal RNA". It matches the Rfam family "Bacterial small subunit ribosomal RNA", at positions 28 to 507 of the family's 1533-position model. The record is from RNAcentral.